UAUAUACUCCCACCAUCUGAAAAUACUUAUCAUAGAAAUAGAUGUAUCUAGAUGUAUUUUAGUUCUAGAUACAUUCAUUUUUAUACAUUUGUGCAACAUGUAAUUUCGGACGGAGGGAGUAUUAG
Molecule: non-coding RNA, 125 nt
Organism: Hordeum vulgare subsp. vulgare (domesticated barley)
Lineage: Eukaryota; Viridiplantae; Streptophyta; Magnoliopsida; Poales; Poaceae
Source: Rfam